UGGGGAAUUUUGGACAAUGGGGGCAACCCUGAUCCAGCAAUGCCGGGUGUGUGAAGAAGGCCUUCGGGUUGUAAAGCACUUUUGUCCGGAAAGAAAACUUCGGGGCUAAUACCCCUGGAGGAUGACGGUACCGGAAGAAUAAGCACCGGCUAACUACGUGCCAGCAGCCGCGGUAAUACGUAGGGUGCGAGCGUUAAUCGGAAUUACUGGGCGUAAAGCGUGCGCAGGCGGUGCUGUAAGACCGAUGUGAAAUCCCCGGGCUUAACCUGGGAACUGCAUUGGUGACUGCAGCGCUGGAGUAUGGCAGAGGGGGGUGGAAUUCCACGUGUAGCAGUGAAAUGCGUAGAGAUGUGGAGGAACACCGAUGGCGAAGGCAGCCCCCUGGGCCAAUACUGACGCUCAUGCACGAAAGCGUGGGGAGCAAACAGG
Molecule: ribosomal RNA, 429 nt
Filed under: Bacillota bacterium
Lineage: Bacteria; Bacillati; Bacillota
Description: Firmicutes bacterium partial 16S ribosomal RNA
Rfam family: Bacterial small subunit ribosomal RNA
Source: RNAcentral